Molecule: small nucleolar RNA, 139 nt
Organism: Nothoprocta perdicaria
Lineage: Eukaryota; Metazoa; Chordata; Aves; Tinamiformes; Tinamidae
Source: Ensembl
UGCACUGUAUGGUAUCUGCACCCAGCAGUGAUCUCCUGGUGGGAUGUUCAAAAARCAGUGCUACAGUAGUUCAGCAUCUGGCAUCGUUGGUUUUCAUUCUGCUGUGUGUGAGAAACCUGGUAUUUCUGCUGAAACAUUU